GGAAAUCGGGAGAGUGGGAGACGCUUGUGGCCAUGGUGUGAAAGAUGCUGAGAUUGAAAUUGGUGUUAAGAGAUGUUCGAAUCAGUGUUGUUCUGUUUGAAUGGAAUGAGAUUGUCGUCUUGCUCCAUAGCUUUUUGUGAGAUUGAAGGUCUUUCUACCCUCCGAUUCCGUGAAUUCUUCAUCUGGCUCCGUUUGAAUUUCUUGUUCUUUUUCCUUCUCAAAAGAAGGAAAGUGAAUAUGAAUACAGGAGCGAGAAAGAGUUGAGGAAGUUGAAGAAAUCUGACAAUUGAAGAAGCUAAUCGAGGAGGAUAGUGGGAGUGAGAUGGAGGAGAGAGAAUCGAGAAGAGGAGCAAGAUUUUUGCUCCCACUGCAUGCUUCCAUGGUUCUUUGAACAUGAGGGCCAGAAAGAUGAGGAUUUAGGAGCCAAUAAAGCCCAUGGACCCCGUCUAAAGAUUGGAGAGUUGUUUCAAACUAAAUUCCAUCCAUGAAGAAUCGAACCAAGACAAUGGAAAUUACAGCUUCUCCGUUUGAGUUUCUCCAGAAAUCGUUCUUUAUUACUCUGCCUUAGCUCCUUGGCAUUCUUAUAAUUUAGCAGAUUUCACUUGUUUAAAACUUACUUUACAUUCAAGAGAAAUGAGUCAGAUUUACAAGCUACCGGCAAGGUGAAACUCGACCAUCUUUUGGACAGUUAUGAUGUUUUAACUAGUGUAUUUAUGUUCUUUUGGACAGUUAUGAUGUUUUAACUAGUGUAUUUAUGUUCUUUUGGACAGUUAUGAUGUUUUAACUAGUGUAUUUAUGUUCUAGUUGGCUAUUAUUGAACUAACGACAACUAUAAACACAAGGUGACAUUUGUAUAUUUGUGUAUGCCAAUUGAGCUAUGCUGAUUUUGACA
Molecule: long non-coding RNA, 892 nt
Organism: Cucumis melo (muskmelon)
Lineage: Eukaryota; Viridiplantae; Streptophyta; Magnoliopsida; Cucurbitales; Cucurbitaceae
Exons: 3
Source: RefSeq, a predicted model, not a curated record